This 372-nucleotide ribosomal RNA is filed under the name Triticum aestivum (bread wheat). RNAcentral's name for it is "partial small subunit ribosomal RNA". Lineage: Eukaryota; Viridiplantae; Streptophyta; Magnoliopsida; Poales; Poaceae. The record is from RNAcentral.
AUGCUGCUGCAGGUGGCGACGAAGCUCACCGCCAGGGAGGUAUGGGACUCCGUGAAGGUGAGGUUCGUCGGCGUCGAUCGGGUCCGCACGGCGAGGCUGGCGACGUUGCGUGGCGAGUUCGACCGCCUGAAGAUGGCGGACGAUGAGGAGCUCGACGUGUACGGCGGGAGGCUCACGGCGAUGGCGGCGAGGUACGCCUACCUCGGGGAGACGCUGGGCGACGCGGCGCUCGUCAAGAAGCUGCUGGAUACGGUACCGGAUCGGCUCUUCCCCGUCGUCGCGGGCAUCGAGCAGUUCUAUGACGUGACGAUGAUGGCGUUCGACAAAGUGCUCGGGCGGCUGCGCGCGUUCGGCGAGCGAGUUCGGCGUUGA